GACAGAGGCCAGGUCCUGAUGGACUGAGGAGGAAGAGAAGAAUGCGCAGGUCCAGCUGCACUGCUGCCCACUCUGGGGUGUGGAGGAACAUGGAAAGAUGGCCUCCAGGAUGGAGAAGGAAGCUGGUUUCGAGGACUGAGGGAUGUUAGGAUAUUGUUUCAUGCAUUAGUCCCCAGGGGCAGGCAGGAAGAUUCCAGAAUGAACCAAACCCUUGUCCUACUGGUAAUAUCGGGCUGGAGAGGUCAUACUCGUCCCUGGGGAGCCUUCCCUGGCUAUCCCUCUGUGUACCACUGGUGUGUGUACCCAGAGUGCUGUUAACUCUUCUUCAGUGUUUACCUCCAACAUCUGCGGGAUCUUUCCAGAAGUCUGGAGAAUGCUGUUGGCUGCCACAGCAGCCAUUUAUGGAGCUUCGUUAUCUGUUCAGACCCUUCAGACGUCACAGUACCAUGUGAGAUAGGCAUUAUCAGCUACAUUUUGAAGAUCUCAGCUAUAGGCUCCGCCCAUCAUGUCUAUGCUCAAGGGAGAAAGGACCCACCUUCCAACGAGCUCCAAAGCUCUCCCGCGUGCACCUGUUCAUUGUGCAGAACAUGUCCCAUGACUGCCCCUAGUGCAAGGAUGUCCGGGAAAGCAAGAUGUCACCGGGAACUGACUUCACUGCUGCUCCGAACAGAAUCAGGGUGUGUCAGCAGGCAAGGGGGACAUUGAUUCUGUGUCAGUCAUAAAGAGUGUCUGCCAUCCAUAAACAGCAUAAUUCUGCUCCCCUCUUGGGUGGAACUCUUGGUGUGAGCCCAAUGGCAGAGCUCGGCCCCCAGAAGAUAAUUGCUUCUUGGCCAUUUCUGCAAACCACUCUGUUCCCUUAAGGUUAAUGCAAAAAGAAUUUUUCUGUUUAGAUGAUUUAAAUGGACUCUGUGAGAAUUUAAGGAUUUCUUUAAAAAGCCUCAGGAAAAAGGCACAACUAAUUACGUGCCUUAAGCUUCACACACAGCAAACUCUGACCCAGGCGCUCGGCACAUAGGAGAGCCCGUGCUUCUGGGAUGGGGGGCUGUCUGCCUUUCUCCGCAGAAGCUGGACAUGGGCAGCAUCUUUAGAAUCU
Molecule: long non-coding RNA, 1093 nt
Filed under: Equus caballus (horse)
Lineage: Eukaryota; Metazoa; Chordata; Mammalia; Perissodactyla; Equidae
Description: lncRNA (ENSECAG00000059910.1)
Source: RNAcentral